UCCUUGUGCCCCCUGCUCCGUCUGCUGUCCGCCUCUCCCUGCAAUGCCCUGCUCCGAAGACAUCACCGCCGCCGUGUCCCCCAGCAAGCGGGCCCGCCCCCCUGCGCUGUGUGCGGCUGUCGGAGCACGCCACGGCCCCGACGCGGGGCUCCGCGCGCGCCGCCGGCUACGACCUCUACAGCGCCUAUGAUUGCACGACACCACCCAUGGAGAAAGCUCUUGUGAAGACGGACAUCCAGAUCGCCCUUCCCUCUGGGAGCUAUGGCAGAGUGGCUCCACGCUCGGGCUUGGCUGCCAAACACUUCAUAGAUGUCGGAGCUGGGGUCAUCGAUGAAGAUUACAGAGGAAACGUGAUGAGUACCCAGCGUAUGUCUUGUUCCAAUGACAUCUCUGAAUAUGCAUUUGAAGCCUAG
Octodon degus (degu) is the source of this 413-nucleotide RNA transcript. It is a transcript of the gene named deoxyuridine 5'-triphosphate nucleotidohydrolase, mitochondrial pseudogene, with no coding region annotated. NCBI's taxonomy places the organism in Eukaryota, Metazoa, Chordata, Mammalia, Rodentia, Octodontidae. The record is from RefSeq and is a predicted model, not a curated record. The transcript is spliced from 2 exons.